RNAcentral lists this ribosomal RNA (390 nucleotides) under uncultured bacterium. RNAcentral's name for it is "bacterial SSU rRNA". It matches the Rfam family "Bacterial small subunit ribosomal RNA", at positions 28 to 417 of the family's 1533-position model. The record is from RNAcentral.
GACGAACGCUGGCGGCGUGCUUAACAUAUGCAAGUCGAGCGGUAAGGCCCUUUCGGGGUACGACGAGCGGCGAACGGGUGAGUAACACGUGGGUGACCUGCCCUCAGCUCUGGGAGUAAGCCUGGGAAACCGGGUCUAAUACCGGAUAUGACUCCAUGACGCAUGUUGUGGGGUGGAAAGCCUUGUGCGGCUGAGGAUGGGCCCGCGGCCUAUCAGCUUGUUGGUGGGGUGAUGGCCUACCAAGGCGACGACGGGUAGCCGGCCUGAGAGGGCGACCGGCCGACACUGGGACUGAGACACGGCCCAGACUCCUACGGGAGGCAGCAGUGGGGAAUCUUGCGCAAUGGGCGAAAGCCUGACGCAGCGACGCCGCGUGAGGGAUGACGGCCU